CCAUUGGAAACGAUGGCUAAUACCGCAUGAUGCCUACGGGCCAAAGAGGGGGACCUUCGGGCCUCUCGCGUCAGGAUAUGCCUAGGUGGGAUUAGCUAGUUGGUGAGGUAAGGGCUCACCAAGGCGACGAUCCCUAGCUGGUCUGAGAGGAUGAUCAGCCACACUGGAACUGAGACACGGUCCAGACUCCUACGGGAGGCAGCAGUGGGGAAUAUUGCACAAUGGGCGCAAGCCUGAUGCAGCCAUGCCGCGUGU
RNAcentral lists this ribosomal RNA (255 nucleotides) under Vibrio parahaemolyticus. RNAcentral describes it as "partial 16S ribosomal RNA". It matches the Rfam family "Bacterial small subunit ribosomal RNA", at positions 147 to 404 of the family's 1533-position model. Lineage: Bacteria; Pseudomonadati; Pseudomonadota; Gammaproteobacteria; Vibrionales; Vibrionaceae. The record is from RNAcentral.